CGCUCACAAUUCCCUCCCUUUUCCCCUCACAUUUCUCUCUCUUCUUCCUCUCACGUUUUCCCGCUCUUUUCUCCCCCUCACGUUUUCCCGCCCUUUUCUCCCCUCAUGAUUCCCUCUCUUUUCCUACGGGGCAGUCCAUACUGGGUGAACCAGUGUUAACUGGUCUGUACUGGGUGAACUGGUCCGUACUGGGUGAACUGGUGUUAACUGGCCCAUAUUGGGUUAACUGCCCAUGUUGGGCCAUCCCGGGCCUGGGGACAUCCCGGGCGGGCGCGAGGCUCCAGCGUGCCCCCGUUACCAUGACAACCCCAACGUGGCGUGGCCGCCAUCUUAACUCCGGGCACGCGCUCCCUGCCAACCACUUCCGGCCCCUCAGCCAAUCACAGCCUCCCGCCUUCCUCACGUGAUUCCCGGUGCCGAACGGGGAAGUGCAGCCGUUAUGGACUCUACCGGAGCCCGGGACGCUUCUGCGGCCCCAGCAGCAUUACCGACACCCCUGGGGACAUUUUGGGGACACUCCGAGAGGUCACGAGCCCGCCGGAGUCCCGUUGCCAUGGAAACAACCAGAACGCCGCGGCCGCCAUCUUUUAACUCUUGGCACCGCCGCCAUCUUAACUGCGGGCAUAACUUCCGCCCUCUCCGCCAAUCACAACCUCCCGUCUCACCCACGUGACCCCCGGUGCAGCCGAACCCGGAAGCGCCGCCGCCGCCAUGGACCCCGCCGCUCCCCCCCCAAAACGCCGCGGGCCCGCCCGCUUGGCCGAUCCGCGGCCUCUGUUCGAGGAUACGAGCGCUACCGGGGCCUCACCGGGCCGCGGGUUCGGGGCUCCGCCGCCGCCUUCGGCCUCGUCGGCCUCGUCAUCUUCAUCAUCCUCGGCCCCGUUCGGGCCGCCCGGGGCGUUCCUGGCCGAGCCCGUGAGCUCGCUGGCCGCGGCCUACGGGAGCAGCCUGGCCUCGCACGUGGAGGGGAACGUGAGUGACGGGAGAUAACGGGAAAUAACGGGGAGAAUAAAUUGGAAUUAACGGGGGAAAAAUGGGAAAUA
RNAcentral lists this long non-coding RNA (1043 nucleotides) under Junco hyemalis (dark-eyed junco). RNAcentral's name for it is "lncRNA (ENSJHYG00000003392.1)". The record is from RNAcentral. Lineage: Eukaryota; Metazoa; Chordata; Aves; Passeriformes; Passerellidae.